UUAAGCGACUAAGCGUACACGGUGGAUGCCCUGGCAGUCAGAGGCGAUGAAGGACGUGCUAAUCUGCGAAAAGCGUCGGUAAGGUGAUAUGAACCGUUACAACCGGCGAUGUCCGAAUGGGGAAACCCAGUGCAAUUCGUUGCACUAUCGUUAACUGAAUACAUAGGUUAACGAGGCGAACCGGGGGAACUGAAACAUCUAAGUACCCCGAGGAAAAGAAAUCAACCGAGAUUCCCCCAGUAGCGGCGAGCGAACGGGGAGCAGCCCGGAGUCUGAAUCAGCUUGUGUGUUAGUGGAAGCGUCUGGAAAGUCGCAGGGUACAGGGUGAUACUCCCGUACACUAAAACACACAGGCUGUGAACUCGAAGAGUAGGGCGGGACACGUGGUAUCCUGUCUGAAUAUGGGGGGACCAUCCUCCAAGGCUAAAUACUCCUGACUGACCGAUAGUGAACCAGUACCGUGAGGGAAAGGCGAAAAGAACCCCGGCGAGGGGAGUGAAAAAGAACCUGAAACCGUGUACGUACAAGCAGUAGGAGCCCACUAGUUGGGUGACUGCGUACCUUUUGUAUAAUGGGUCAGCGACUUAUAUUCUGUAGCAAGGUUAACCGAAUAGGGGAGCCGCAGGGAAACCGAGUCUUAACUGGGCGUUAAGUUGCAGGGUAUAGACCCGAAACCCGGUGAUCUAGCCAUGGGCAGGUUGAAGGUUGGGUAACACUAACUGGAGGACCGAACCGACUAAUGUUGAAAAAUUAGCGGAUGACUUGUGGCUGGGGGUGAAAGGCCAAUCAAACCGGGAGAUAGCUGGUUCUCCCCGAAAGCUAUUUAGGUAGCGCCUCGUGAACUCAUCUUCGGGGGUAGAGCACUGUUUCGGCUAGGGGGUCAUCCCGACUUACCAACCCGAUGCAAACUACGAAUACCGAAGAAUGUUAUCACGGGAGACACACGGCGGGUGCUAACGUCCGUCGUGAAGAGGGAAACAACCCAGACCGCCAGCUAAGGUCCCAAAGUCAUGGUUAAGUGGGAAACGAUGUGGGAAGGCCCAGACAGCCAGGAUGUUGGCUUAGAAGCAGCCAUCAUUUAAAGAAAGCGUAAUAGCUCACUGGUCGAGUCGGCCUGCGCGGAAGAUGUAACGGGGCUAAACCAUGCACCGAAGCUGCGGCAGCGACGCUUAUGCGUUGUUGGGUAGGGGAGCGUUCUGUAAGCCGUUGAAGGUGGCCUGUGAGGGUUGCUGGAGGUAUCAGAAGUGCGAAUGCUGACAUAAGUAACGAUAAUGCGGGUGAAAAACCCGCACGCCGGAAGACCAAGGGUUCCUGUCCAACGUUAAUCGGGGCAGGGUGAGUCGACCCCUAAGGCGAGGCCGAAAGGCGUAGUCGAUGGGAAACAGGUUAAUAUUCCUGUACUUGGUGUUACUGCGAAGGGGGGACGGAGAAGGCUAUGUUGGCCGGGCGACGGUUGUCCCGGUUUAAGCAUGUAGGCGGAUGUUCCAGGUAAAUCCGGAACGUCACUAACGCUGAGGUGUGAUGACGAGGCACUACGGUGCUGAAGUGACAAAUGCCCUGCUUCCAGGAAAAGCCUCUAAGCAUCAGGUAACAUCAAAUCGUACCCCAAACCGACACAGGUGGUCAGGUAGAGAAUACCAAGGCGCUUGAGAGAACUCGGGUGAAGGAACUAGGCAAAAUGGUGCCGUAACUUCGGGAGAAGGCACGCUGAUGGUAGGUGAAGCGACUUGCUCGUGGAGCUGAAAUCAGUCGAAGAUACCAGCUGGCUGCAACUGUUUAUUAAAAACACAGCACUGUGCAAACACGAAAGUGGACGUAUACGGUGUGACGCCUGCCCGGUGCCGGAAGGUUAAUUGAUGGGGUUAUCCUCACGGAGAAGCUCUUGAUCGAAGCCCCGGUAAACGGCGGCCGUAACUAUAACGGUCCUAAGGUAGCGAAAUUCCUUGUCGGGUAAGUUCCGACCUGCACGAAUGGCGUAAUGAUGGCCAGGCUGUCUCCACCCGAGACUCAGUGAAAUUGAACUCGCUGUGAAGAUGCAGUGUACCCGCGGCAAGACGGAAAGACCCCGUGAACCUUUACUAUAGCUUGACACUGAACACUGGUCCUUGAUGUGUAGGAUAGGUGGGAGGCUUUGAAGUGUGGACGCCAGUCUGCAUGGAGCCAUCCUUGAAAUACCACCCUUUAAUGGCUGGGGUUCUAACGUGGGCCCGUAAUCCGGGUUGCGGACAGUGUCUGGUGGGUAGUUUGACUGGGGCGGUCUCCUCCUAAAGAGUAACGGAGGAGCACGAAGGUCAGCUAAUCCUGGUCGGACAUCAGGAGGUUAGUGCAAUGGCAUAAGCUGGCUUGACUGCGAGCGUGACGGCGCGAGCAGGUGCGAAAGCAGGUCAUAGUGAUCCGGUGGUUCUGAAUGGAAGGGCCAUCGCUCAACGGAUAAAAGGUACUCCGGGGAUAACAGGCUGAUACCGCCCAAGAGUUCAUAUCGACGGCGGUGUUUGGCACCUCGAUGUCGGCUCAUCACAUCCUGGGGCUGAAGUAGGUCCCAAGGGUAUGGCUGUUCGCCAUUUAAAGUGGUACGCGAGCUGGGUUUAGAACGUCGUGAGACAGUUCGGUCCCUAUCUGCCGUGGGCGCUGGAGAAUUGAGGGGGGCUGCUCCUAGUACGAGAGGACCGGAGUGGACGCAUCACUGGUGUUCGGGUUGUCAUGCCAAUGGCAUUGCCCGGUAGCUAAAUGCGGAAGAGAUAAGUGCUGAAAGCAUCUAAGCACGAAACUUGCCCCGAGAUGAGUUCUCCCUGACCCCUUAAGAGUCCUGAAGGAACGUUGAAGACGACGACGUUGAUAGGCCGGGUGUGUAAGCGCAGCGAUGCGUUGAGCUAACCGGUACUAAUGAACCGUGAGGCUUAACCUU
RNAcentral lists this ribosomal RNA (2905 nucleotides) under Klebsiella oxytoca 10-5248. Its description in RNAcentral is "bacterial LSU rRNA". It matches the Rfam family "Bacterial large subunit ribosomal RNA". The record is from RNAcentral. Lineage: Bacteria; Pseudomonadati; Pseudomonadota; Gammaproteobacteria; Enterobacterales; Enterobacteriaceae.